CGUUAGAUGAACUUCCCAGUCGGUCACCCAUCUUAGUUGUGCUCUAAGUCAAGCACGCUUAACCUUGAAGUUCCUUUCGAGUGGUCACAGUACAGAACACUCGUAUUAUUAAUAUAUCUAGUACCUAUCAAUUCAUUUUAAACUCUAUUUCAAUAUAUAUACAAUAGCAUACAUUCAUAAUUAAUUAAAAUUUCGUUUAAAAUUAAAAAAGAAAAAGAAAAAAAUCCAAGCAAACCCUUGAAAGCACAGAAAAGCAGACUAAGGGCCGAACCUCGUUAAAACCUUACUAAGGAAAACCCAUAGGAAAACCACCCUUAACAAGGAAAAAGAGUACUCGUCAAGAAGACAAACAACGACAAAAAUAGCGAAGAAGGGUGGAAAAACUUCAGGAGCUCCGGCCUAAC
This 404-nucleotide long non-coding RNA is filed under the name Salvia miltiorrhiza (redroot sage). Its description in RNAcentral is "long non-coding RNA (SMIL_LNC009141)". Lineage: Eukaryota; Viridiplantae; Streptophyta; Magnoliopsida; Lamiales; Lamiaceae. The record is from RNAcentral.